This 75-nucleotide transfer RNA is filed under the name Hyphomicrobiaceae bacterium. Its description in RNAcentral is "tRNA-Thr". It matches the Rfam family "tRNA". From Rfam's summary of the family: Transfer RNA (tRNA) molecules are approximately 80 nucleotides in length. RNAcentral also lists the same sequence under 1 other name. The record is from RNAcentral. Lineage: Bacteria; Pseudomonadati; Pseudomonadota; Alphaproteobacteria; Hyphomicrobiales; Hyphomicrobiaceae.
GCCGGCUUAGCACAGCGGUAGUGCACCUGAUUUGUAAUCAGGGGGUCACAGGUUCAAAUCCUGUAGCCGGCACCA